Planococcus citri (citrus mealybug) is the source of this 1162-nucleotide long non-coding RNA. RefSeq lists it as uncharacterized. The record is from RefSeq and is a predicted model, not a curated record. Lineage: Eukaryota; Metazoa; Arthropoda; Insecta; Hemiptera; Pseudococcidae. The transcript has 4 exons.
UCGGUGACUGUUCAUGACACAUACUAGAAUUUUUAUGCUUACAAUUAAUUUCAAGUGAUGAAAAUUAACUAGAUAGUCCAUUUUAUGCUAAAAUAGUGCGUUAAUUGAUUCAAAAUUUUAAAAAUUUGCCACAAUUUUUAUUUUUGGAUUUUUAUUUUUUAUUGAUGGACGAAGAUAAUUGAAUGAUUUAUUCCAGUAGUCAAAUGUGCCAAUAUAAGUAAAUUGAGAAGCAGGUCGUACCGAACCACGUGAUUUUGUAGCGGAUUGUCAUGAUGCAUUGGAAUUAGUGCUAUAACUGAUCAGCACUAUACUCGGCUCCACACCUCCUAUAUAUAAAAAAGAUUUGAUGGAUCGGGAGGAAAAUCAAUAAGUCGAUAGUUCACUAUCCAGAAGCAGUGCUUAUGCAACGAUUUUGAAAAUUCAGCUCAAUCUCUCAAAGAGGUCUGAAAAAUUCUAAGAAAUAUACAGUUGUGGAGACAGAAGGAAAAAUCUGCAAAGCAUAAUUCAAAAUUUGCAGAAAUUGAAGCCCAUCCGCCAACUCUACCUUUGAUUUUAAAUUAGGUAGAUUUAAUCAAAACUGCUAAAUUUAUUUUAUUGAAAUUUUAUUAGGUAGAUAAGGAUUUUCUGAAGGUGGAGGGAGGGCUUUUGUUGAUGGGAGCUGGUGAGUUGAUACCCAAACCGUAUAAAAAAGGUGGUCGAAUUGAUUCCCACCUCGAAAUUUCAAGUGUGAUUCCCACCUCAAAAUUUCAAGUAUACGAAUUGAUUCCUACCUCAAAUUUUCAAGUGUACGUACAUUUGGAAAUUUGAGGUAGGAAUCAAUUCGUACACUUGGAAUUUUGAGGUGGGAAUCAAUUCGUACACUUCUAUCUUUAAAAAAAUCAAGUGGGAAUCAACUCACCUGUAUCCCUGUUGACAGUAUUAAAUAAGUAGGUAUUUAGGUUUAGGUAUAGGUAUAGUAUAAGUUUUUUAAGGGUCCGAAUGAACCAUUUUAAACAGGUUAGUGACAGGGUGCGUCGUCACUUAUUUUAAGUUCAAGUUGGGUAAUUUUAUUAUUAAGUUUAAUUUUAAUUGUUUUUUAUUGUGGACUAUUUUUUAAUUUUAUUAUUUAAAUUUGUUAUUGUGGAGGAACCCGGUGAUAUAUUUUUAAAAAUUUUAUUUUAUA